GAUGAACGCUGGCGGCGUGCCUAAUACAUGCAAGUCGAGCGAACAGACGAGGAGCUUGCUCCUCUGACGUUAGCGGCGGACGGGUGAGUAACACGUGGAUAACCUACCUAUAAGACUGGGAUAACUUCGGGAAACCGGAGCUAAUACCGGAUAAUAUAUUGAACCGCAUGGUUCAAUAGUGAAAGACGGUUUUGCUGUCACUUAUAGAUGGAUCCGCGCCGCAUUAGCUAGUUGGUAAGGUAACGGCUUACCAAGGCAACGAUGCGUAGCCGACCUGAGAGGGUGAUCGGCCACACCGGAACUGAGAACCGGGCCCGACUCCUACGGGGAGCAGGAGUAGGGAAUCUUCCGCAAUGGGCGAAAGCUUGACGGAGCAACGCCGCGUGAGUGAUGAAGGUCUUCGGAUCGUAAAACUCUGUUAUUAGGGAAGAACAAAUGUGUAAGUAACUAUGCACGUCUUGACGGUACCUAAUCAGAAAGCCACGGCUAACUACGUG
This 497-nucleotide ribosomal RNA is filed under the name uncultured bacterium. RNAcentral describes it as "partial 16S ribosomal RNA". It matches the Rfam family "Bacterial small subunit ribosomal RNA", at positions 28 to 507 of the family's 1533-position model. The record is from RNAcentral.